Long non-coding RNA from Pan troglodytes (chimpanzee), 2239 nucleotides. The record is from Ensembl. Lineage: Eukaryota; Metazoa; Chordata; Mammalia; Primates; Hominidae.
AAAAUACAAACACAUUUCCUUUUUAAAGUACUUUUAAGAAAAAAAGCAGUGCCGUGGAAGUUUUGGUGCUUUUUUCCUCCCCUGCUGCGGACCCUCACGGUUUGGAUCGGGCGGUGGAGACGCGUGUCGCCUGCGGGGGGCGCUGCUCACGGCGGGCGCGCGGGCCUCUCUACCCGAAGGCGACCACGUUUAGAUUCUGAGACCGGAAGUGGAGGGUCAACAGGUCACGGCGGCCUUUCUUUGAGUUUAACUUUUCCUUUUUUGCUGUCUGGUGAUCCUCGUCGGUCUUCUGCUUCUUGGCAUCGACAUCGUCAUCCUCAUCGCCUUCAGCUGCCCGCUUGCCCGGAGCUGACUCAGCUUCCUCAUCUUCAUCUCCAUCCUCUUCCUCAUAGCAUUCCCGUUAGCAGGGGCGUCCCUUCCAUUUUCGGCCUCUUCCACAACUUUCUUCUUCUCCUUUACGUCCUUGGUGGUGGUUUCGGAGCCGGUGAUGCGAUGCAGGGGAUUAAAAAGAAAGCGAGAGUUCAGGGACUCUGGCGAUGAAGCUGCUGGAGUCCGCGGUGGAGGAGGCGCGUGGCGGAGGCGGACGAGGCACAAUGCAAGGAUGGCUUUUCAGAGCAGCCGGUGGGGGAUAUUCUCUCUCUCUCUCUCUCUCUCUCUCUCUCUCUCUCUCUCAAUGGUCAUGACUUGAAACGUAUGUAAAGUGGUACCUGCAUAAAGCUUAGUAUCUAAAAAUGUUAGAUGAUGCUAUUGCUACUGCCACUAAUUAUAUUAACAAAUAGUAUUUCUUCAGGUUCAUCAUGCGCUGAAGAAGUAACUGGUCAGCAGAGACAUUAAGAACACAUAGCAAUGCCUUAUCCUUUCUCCUAAUCUUGCAAAAGUCAUUCCUUUCAAACAAGUCCAAAACAAAAUGCCUAAAACAAUAGCUUUGUGGGAGGCAGCUGCGGCACAGUGAACAGUAUGACAGCCUUUGGAACAUUAUAGGUUGGGGGAACCUAGGCUCUGCUAUUUAACUCAGUGGCACACAGCUGGACUGCAAAUAUUCAGUCAGUGCAAAAGUAAUUGUGGUUUUUGCCAUUACUUCUAAUGACAAAAACCGCAAUUACUUUUGCACCAACCUAAUACUUUCCCAUUUCUCACUAGUGUGUCGUAACAUUUAUGCAAACAAAAGCCUUUUAUACAUUCCAAAGUACAGCACAUAUGAAGAAAUAUAGACGUUUCAAUGCCAUUAAAAAUUCAGAAAACUCAGAAAAUAACACACACUAUUUACCCAUUACCUGAGACUAUCAAUGUCAAUAACUUGUCAGAUUUGUUUCACAUGAUAUUAUCACUUACUUAAAGCAGAGGAUGGAUGUGUGUUCUUAAAUCAGUAAUGCCUUAUGUUGGAAUCUCUUAGCUUCAAAGGUGAAUAAGUUAUGCUUUUAAGAAGUUCCAGGAGCUAUUUUUUUAAUCUACAAUUAAGAACAGAUUUGAAAGUUGAUGAUUGUAGUGUUUGCUGAAAUUGCGGGGUCAUUCAAGAAGAUUGGGAACAGCCAAACGACUUCAGAACUAGCUUGUAAGUCUCAUGGCAAAAAAAGUCAUUCAGUCUCUGAGCUGUCGAUCUUAAACCCUACAUGGGUAACAAUUUUGUUGGGGUCAGCUAUGUGGAAGGAGGAGUCUAAGAGCAAAGUCAGUCUUGGAAUCUAAUAAAGUCAGCUUCUGAGAGACAGAAAGAGAGACAGAGAGAGACAGAGAGAGACCGAGACAGAGAGAGGAGGGAGAGAGAGAGAUCUUCAUUAUAGUAUUUUCCACAGUAGUAUGACUAGCUUUCUUUUACCAGGGCAGCUUGUCUCCAGUUCCUCUAAUGCAAAAUAAAAUUUGUAUGACUCCUUUAACACUUUGGGAUAUAAAUCAAGUAGAAUGGACUGGAACAUUCCUCUUGCUCACAGCUGCUUUUCUCUGAUUUUUACUAAACAAAGCCGCAUAUUGCAGCCACCCUGUUCUUCUACCUGUUUUUUUCUCCACUUGCAGAUAGCAGAAAGAAGUUUAAGUCUAUGCAUAUCAUUAUGAUGAGUUAUUUCAGCUAGGAAAUCACUAUUGGAAAAAAAGAGACUGUGACUUUUGGUGCCAAAAAUAAGCACUUAUCGCUUAAAAUUUUCAAAGAGAAGCCAAAGUCGUGCCACAAGACUUGGGGUAAGCACAUCAGAUUUCUAGGUUGAAUGUGCAACCUCAUUAUGCAGUGUUCCUUCUGAUGAAACAUCUG